GAUCCGUUCUCUCAGGCAUCAAGUUUCUCUUUUUGAGGCUUUUUUGCAGGAAAAGUUUGAGCCAGAACAUGGAGAAGAAGACAUGGCACUCCACCACUUCUGCUACUCCAUUGGAUACAGCUGCGUUCCAUCUCGGAAAAGAAGAAAUCCGACAAGUAUCAUGUUGCAGCACAUACAUCAUAACUGGGAAGCCUAGAGAAGAGGGAGUGGUCCUAAUCGAGGGAUAUGCCUGAGCACAAAUGGUUAUCUCCUAUUCUCCUUCAAAACAAGGACAACAGUUUCAUUAUGCUGCUUGCUGUCAACUAUUUUGCUUCUCUCCUUCAGAGGUUUUGUUUAAGCAAAUGUUGCUUAAUGAUAAAGGUUGGGUGAAGAUAAUUUGGUAUUAUUGUGUGUAAAGGGUGGGUGGCUAAAGAAGAGAUGCAAUCAUGAAAGAGGCAAUGCACUUGAGGGCAUGGAUGAGAGUGGCCCUCAUCACCAGUGUUCCUGUGGUUGAUUGCAAUCAGCUUUGUUGGGGAACCUUCUCAAUGCCUGCUUUCCAAGUGCUAAGGGGAUGUAAAGCUCUGGAGGUGCUAUCUGUUCUCUCUGUUGAGUUUGCUUUGGUAUUCAGAGCUUGUGAUGCUAUAAACUCAUCAAAUAGGAUUUGUACUGAGAUCAUUAUACAAAAGUUUGAUCUGGUCUGAAGUGGGUCAGUAGAGAUCUGUGAGAGAGAUAUCAUGCAGAAUGAAGCUAUCAGCAAGAAGAGGUCUUUAAAGUUGAACAGGAAAGUGGAGAGUAAGUCAAGUUUGAUACAGUUCUGUCAAGAUUAAAACAGGAACUUAUCAGCAAAGCAUCCACACUUGUACAGAAUUCAUUGUGGCAAUGUUUCACAGGAGGAGAUCCCAUGAACAAGACAUGUCUCAGUAGCCAUGCAAGCAGCUGAAAGCUACCACAGUUGAAACCUUUCUCUCAGAGGUGUGAGAAGGUAGGUAGGUAGGUCCACCUUUAUCGAGCUCAAUUCCUUGCUCUAGCUGUUUGACUGACCACAAGAAUGAACUAGAGAAAUGUUGAGUGUCUUAAACUAGAUAAAUGUUGCAUUUGUUACCACUAGAGAGUGGACAUAAUUAUUAUUAUCAUACAAAUAUGCCUAA
Molecule: non-coding RNA, 1127 nt
Organism: Musa acuminata subsp. malaccensis (wild Malaysian banana)
Lineage: Eukaryota; Viridiplantae; Streptophyta; Magnoliopsida; Zingiberales; Musaceae
Source: RefSeq, a predicted model, not a curated record